Molecule: long non-coding RNA, 828 nt
Organism: Portunus trituberculatus (swimming crab)
Lineage: Eukaryota; Metazoa; Arthropoda; Malacostraca; Decapoda; Portunidae
Exons: 4
Source: RefSeq, a predicted model, not a curated record
UUAUAGAGAACCUACGUGAUCAUUUUGAAUGUAAACUCUGUACUUUUGAAAUUAGUUCAACGCUACAAAAAUUGCUACAAAAGUUGCACAUCAGACCUUUCCAAUUCUAUAAACAAAACAAUCACAACUUUUAAGAUAUCAGAAUACUUUAUAAAAGCAUUGAACACCCUUUGGAAACCCCCAGAUGGCGUGAGUGUUGGUGACAACCUAUAGAGGAAUGGAGACAGAGGAGGCCGGAAUGACAGCACGAGGAAGAGAGUGAGCCAGGUAACAGCAAAACCUUAUCAAAGCUGCAACUUUGUGCUGCAUUCUUGUGCGUGGGAACAUGUCUGUCAAGGAGCAUCUACCCGAGUGCUCUGAAGCAAUGGACCAAGGAAUGCAUAAACGUAGCAGUGAAUUCAAAAGCAGAAGCAGUAAAUACGCAGAGUGCCGACUAGCAUGGUGAUCUGGAUGGGAAUUAGAAAGACUGUCAGCUGGAGAGGAACAGCCACGAACUCAUUGACGUCAAGAGAACCAUCCAGCCCCUGUGAGUCAGCUUGGAGGAACAACUACAUACAGGAGGACAAGAAGCACCACUACCAAAGCGGAGGUUCUAACCCCCCACACGUUGCCAGUGAAGGGAGCGGGGGAGGGAAGCAGUAGACGGAGGGGCAGUAGGAGCGGCAUGCUGAGAGGACCCCCGUCAGGAGGGCGACAUGCAAGUCUAUCGAGAGUACUGGAGAGAGAAAGUCCCUGCUGGCAUCGCUGCAAACUCCUCUGGUGCCACCGCCGCUGCCACCGCCGCCGCCGCCUCUGCCUCCGCCUCCGCCGCCGCCGCCGCCGCCGCCG